GAUGAACGCUAGCGGCAGGCCUAAUACAUGCAAGUCGGACGGGAUCCAUUGAUAGCUUGCUAUCAAUGGUGAGAGUGGCGCACGGGUGCGUAACGCGUGAGCAACCUCCCUCCAUCAGGGGGAUAACCUCUCGAAAGAGAGAUUAACACCGCAUAAUAUCAACAGUUCGCAUGUUCAGUUGAUUAAAUAUUUAUAGGAUGGAGAUGGGCUCGCGUGACAUUAGCUAGUUGGUAGGGUAACGGCUUACCAAGGCGACGAUGUCUAGGGGCUCUGAGAGGAGAAUCCCCCACACUGGUACUGAGACACGGACCAGACUCCUACGGGACGCAGCAGUAAGGAAUAUUGGGCAAUGGGCGGAAGCCUGAACCAGCCAUGCCGCGUGCAGGAUGACUGCCCUAUGGGUUGUAAACUGCUUUUGUCCAGGAAUAAACCUAAAUACGAGGAUUUAGCUGAAUGUACUGGAAGAAUAAGGAUCGGCUAACUCCGUG
RNAcentral lists this ribosomal RNA (488 nucleotides) under uncultured bacterium. RNAcentral's name for it is "partial 16S ribosomal RNA". It matches the Rfam family "Bacterial small subunit ribosomal RNA", at positions 28 to 507 of the family's 1533-position model. The record is from RNAcentral.